AUGUACCCCCUUACACUCCGAUUCCUCCGCGCCGUCCGCACCCCACCUGACGGCCGCUCGCUACGUUUUUGUUAGCC
Molecule: small RNA, 77 nt
Filed under: Xanthomonas campestris
Lineage: Bacteria; Pseudomonadati; Pseudomonadota; Gammaproteobacteria; Lysobacterales; Lysobacteraceae
Description: sX9
Rfam family: Xanthomonas sRNA sX9
Source: RNAcentral